AUUGAACGCUGGCGGCAGGCUUAACACAUGCAAGUCGAACGAGUGGCGGACGGGUGAGUAAUGCUUGGGAAUCUGGCUGAUGGAGGGGGAUAACUACUGGAAACUGUAGCUAAUACCGCAUACCAUCAGAUGAGCCCAAAUGGGAUUAGGUAGUUGGUGAGGUAAAGGCUCACCAAGCCGACGAUCCCUAGCUGGUCUGAGAGGAUGACCAGCCACACUGGGACUGAGACACGGCCCAGACUCCUACGGGAGGCAGCAGUGGGGAAUAUUGCGCAAUGGGGGCAACCCUGAUGCAGCCAUGCCGCGUGAAUGAAGAAGGCCUUCGGGUUGUAAAGUUCUUUCGGUAGCGAGGCGUUACCUACAGAAGAAGCACCGGCUAACUCCGUGCCAGCAGCCGCGGUAAUUC
Molecule: ribosomal RNA, 406 nt
Filed under: uncultured bacterium
Lineage: Bacteria
Description: partial 16S ribosomal RNA
Rfam family: Bacterial small subunit ribosomal RNA
Source: RNAcentral